This 413-nucleotide ribosomal RNA is filed under the name uncultured bacterium. RNAcentral's name for it is "bacterial SSU rRNA". It matches the Rfam family "Bacterial small subunit ribosomal RNA", at positions 505 to 916 of the family's 1533-position model. The record is from RNAcentral.
GUGCCAGCCGCCGCGGUAAUACGGGAGUGGCAAGCGUUAUCCGGAAUUAUUGGGCGUAAAGCGUCCGCAGGCGGCCGUUUAAGUCUGUUGUUAAAUCGUGGAGCUCAACUCCAUCACGGCAAUGGAAACUGUUCGGCUUGAGUAUGGUAGGGGCAGAGGGAAUUUCCGGUGUAGCGGUGAAAUGCGUAGAUAUCGGGAAGAACACCAGUGGCGAAAGCGCUCUGCUGGGCCAUUACUGACGCUCAUGGACGAAAGCCAGGGGAGCGAAAGGGAUUAGAUACCCCUGUAGUCCUGGCCGUAAACGAUGAACACUAGAUGUUGGGGGAAUCGACCCCCUCGGUGUCGUAGCUAACGCGUUAAGUGUUCCGCCUGGGGAGUACGCACGCAAGUGUGAAACUCAAAGGAAUUGACGG